Acromyrmex echinatior (Panamanian leafcutter ant) is the source of this 908-nucleotide long non-coding RNA. The record is from RefSeq and is a predicted model, not a curated record. NCBI's taxonomy places the organism in Eukaryota, Metazoa, Arthropoda, Insecta, Hymenoptera, Formicidae.
UGUUCUAUGUGCUUCAGUCUCAAUAUAUCAAAUAUUUGUUGAAACGAGCCUAGUGUCGGCGUUCUGUAAAUGGAGUAAUGUACAUUAGUACAGUAACGUUGUAAUUCUCUAAUGUACGGCGCAUAUCACAAAUGCAAUGUUGUUAAUGCACGAUAAUAACACGAUUAAAUUAGUUGCAUACAUAAAUGCGUCAUAAAUGCGAUUGGUUUUAUCAAAUAUUUGAUAAGCGAAUGCUUUACUUGGUAUCGAUUCGAACGAUGUCACUUAAACUUAAUACAUGUAUUAUUUUAGCAUGCAUUAUCUCUUAUAUGUCAACGUUGGUUGUGCUUUUAUCAUUGCAAUUUAAGAGGAACAAUUAUCGAAUAACGAAAAGCUUGGUAUCCUUUUAAAACGCGCGAAAAAGCACCUUUGUAAGGCUUUACGCAAAGGAAACAACUACAAGCGUAUGACGGAUUUUAGUUAAGAGAUACUUAAUUACCGUAGGUGGCGGAACACACGACCAUGACACGAACAAAAGCUAGGAUUAUGUACGCCAACGGCAGGAUAAAGAGAUUAUAAAUACGUCUCUUGCUUAUGUAUACUCGCUUUUUUAAUUACCAUGCGUGUGAGAUCUUAAUUGUAGUUAUAUCGAUUUCUGUCAGUGGACACUUAUUGAAAUAAUAGCGAAUGGCGAGACGAUUUUCUCUUUGUUGAUUGUUAAGCAAGCUUUGAGAAACACGUGAUUGAAAGCUUGUGAUAGUUUAUUUACGAUCGCAUUCAGUUGGUCGUGUGUGAAUUGCCGAUGUGAAAUUGGGCAAUUUGUAUACGGAUCUCCCACGCACACCCACGUGGAAGUAAAAGAAUCAUUUAAAGUUCGAAUUAACAAGCAUUAUAACGAGCAUAAAUUACAAAUAGAUUUAUGGAUAAUU